Dromiciops gliroides (monito del monte) is the source of this 1027-nucleotide long non-coding RNA. RefSeq lists it as uncharacterized. NCBI's taxonomy places the organism in Eukaryota, Metazoa, Chordata, Mammalia, Microbiotheria, Microbiotheriidae. The transcript has 4 exons. The record is from RefSeq and is a predicted model, not a curated record.
CUCAGACACUAACUCUCCCUCUGCAUUACCACAAUCACUUUUCUCUGUCUGCUCUCUUACAACUCACUCAAUCAGAUCAGCACCAGCAGGGAGGCUAUGCCUUGAAGUUCUUCAAUAGCUUCCCAAUUGUGAAAUUGUGGGCACCUAUAUCCCCUUGAAGCCUCUAGGGAAGCUGCUUCUGCUUUUACUUUCCCAGCAUCCCCAGUUUCUGGACAAAGAGAGCUAUUCAACUUUGAUUUUGCUUCCUUUUUCUCUAUAAAAGAGAGUGAUCGUCAGGCUGGGAAGAUAGAAGAACAAAGUUAACUGGGAGUUCAAACUGAAGACUGGUGAGGUGGAGAAUGAAGAACAACCAACAUUAUCUGACUUGAAGCACUGGAGGUCUAGGUAGGAUUAUUUAUUCCUCUCCAGGCUUCACUCUGGACUUCCUCUACCAUGGCCCAACUCCACAUCCUGAAACUCUCCCAAGUCCUGGACUUAUUAUAUUGAAGUCAUUUUCUAGUGGUUCAACCCUAAUUCAGUCUAACCUACAGUUGGAACCUGGGGAUUGGGUCUAUUGGAAAAGGCAGCUGUGCAAGGAUUCCUUACAGCCCAGAUGGAAAGGCCCCGACCAAGUGCUGCUGACCAACCCCUUGGCUGAAAGCUGGACCCACUUAUAACAUCUGAAGAAGACUCUGACUCCUGAAUGGAUGGCCAGACAUACCAGCAAUACCAAGUUUCGCCUGACCAGGAAAAAGAAGCAGACAACAUCAGUGUAGACUAUGGUCCCAAGAUGCCCAGACAUGGCCUGAGAAUCCUGUUUCAUGCCCCAACACUAUUUUUGGUCAUGAGGAAUUCCAGAAUUCCUCUUGACCAAGAGGAGAGAAUGAGAACUACAAAAUUUACUGAGAAUUGAUUCCCUACCCUGUCCCCUCUUUCCUAGAUAAAUGAAUUGCCUGGGGCUGACUGUCUGUGUCAUUUUCAGACUCUUGAUGGACUUAUGGACCUUUCCCCAAGCAAAUUAUCCCCUCCCAAUGUUCCCCACCUUAAU